RNAcentral lists this transfer RNA (67 nucleotides) under zebrafish metagenome. It matches the Rfam family "tRNA". Rfam says of the family: Transfer RNA (tRNA) molecules are approximately 80 nucleotides in length. Their secondary structure includes four short double-helical elements and three loops (D, anti-codon, and T loops). The record is from RNAcentral.
GGUAUAGCGCAGUCUGGUAGCGCAUCUGCUUUGGGAGCAGAGGGUCGCAGGUUCGAAUCCUGCUGCC